RNAcentral lists this ribosomal RNA (464 nucleotides) under uncultured bacterium. RNAcentral describes it as "partial 16S ribosomal RNA". It matches the Rfam family "Bacterial small subunit ribosomal RNA", at positions 339 to 795 of the family's 1533-position model. The record is from RNAcentral.
CUACGGGAUGCAGCAGUGGGGAAUAUUGCACAAUGGGCGCAAGCCUGAUGCAGCCAUGCCGCGUGUAUGAAGAAGGCCUUCGGGUUGUAAAGUACUUUCAGCGGGGAGGAAGGGAGUAAAGUUAAUACCUUUGCUCAUUGACGUUACCCGCAGAAGAAGCACCGGCUAACUCCGGGCCAGCAGCCGCGGUAAUACGGAGGGUGCAAGCGUUAAUCGGAAUUACUGGGCGUAAAGCGCACGCAGGCGGUUUGUUAAGUCAGAUGUGAAAUCCCCGGGCUCAACCUGGGAACUGCAUCUGAUACUGGCAAGCUGGAGUCUCGUAGAGGGGGGUAGAAUUCCAGGUGUAGCGGUGAAAUGCGUAGAGAUCUGGAGGAAUACCGGUGGCGAAGGCGGCCCCCUGGACGAAGACUGACGCUCAGGUGCGAAAGCGUGGGGAGCAAACAGGAUUAGAUACCCCGGUAGUC